UGUCAACUAAGGUGACAGACGAUAGAACACUUGACAAAAAACAGGGUAGAUUCUUAAAUUGUUGGCUGUUUUUUGUGAACUUCAAUAAAUUAGUUAUUCUGUUGUCUCAGCGUUUCUACGAUAUUUAAAAAUAAUAGCCUGAAAAUGAUGGCGGAGUCAGAUACAACCGUGGAAGCCACAAAAAGAUUAAAUGUUAAAAAGCAAACUUUAGAUGAUGCCUAUGCUGCUCCUGCGAAUUUUUUAGAAAUCGAUGUAGUGAAUCCUGUUACUACAAUUGGAGUUGGAAAGAAGAGGUUUACAGACUAUGAAGUGAGAAUGAGAACAAACUUACCAGUGUUCAAAGUAAAAGAAUCUAGUGUGAGAAGGAGAUACAGUGAUUUUGAAUGGCUUCGAAAUGAACUGGAACGAGACAGUAAAAUCGUGGUGCCUCCUCUACCAGGUAAAGCUUGGAAAAGACAGCUACCCUUUAGAGGUGAUGAUGGAAUUUUUGAAGAAGAUUUCAUAGAAGAUAGAAGGAAGGGUUUAGAAGUAUUCAUUAAUAAAAUUGCUGGACAUCCAUUGGCUCAAAAUGAAAGGUGUCUACAUAUGUUUCUUCAGGAACCACAAAUUGAUAAGAAUUAUGUUCCUGGAAAGAUCCGCAACACAUAAGAAAUGGUGAAGGUGAAGUUAUAGUUACGUCCUUUCUACUUUAUAUUAUCAGUUACCCAGGAUCCUUGGGCCUCAUGAAAUUUCCAUCUAUAAUUGGCAUGAAAUUUCUCUGACAGUGAACCAUCCUGUAGGUGUACAUAUUUCUACUUUUUGAUGAUACAAAGACUCUUUAAGUUUACAAUAAAAGUAUCGCCAUGAUCUGAAUUAUUGCAAAGAAAAUUAUUUUCUGCCAAAUGUCGGUGAAUGCUAAAAUAGCUAAAUGCCUUUUUAAUAAUGUAAAAACUAUUUGUCAUUUUCUACAAAUGUCUUGUUUCGAUUUUAUUUUGUAUAAUGAAGUAGGUUAUCUAUGUAUAGUUAUUGCCAGUUAUGUAUUUACCCAAAUAAAUUUAUUUAUAUGCA
RNAcentral lists this unclassified non-coding RNA (1047 nucleotides) under Leptinotarsa decemlineata (Colorado potato beetle). RNAcentral's name for it is "sorting nexin-12, transcript variant X3". The record is from RNAcentral. Lineage: Eukaryota; Metazoa; Arthropoda; Insecta; Coleoptera; Chrysomelidae.